AUGGUAGGUAUUGUGGGUAUCGACUUAUCUGGCAACUCUCUUUCACAAGAGAUUCCAAAUGGGCUCACAACCCUUCUUGGACUGAGGUAUCUGAACUUAUCAGGAAAUCAUUUGUUAGGCUGCAUUCCCGAAGACAUUGGCAAUCUAGUACUGCUGGAAUCCUUGGACCUUUCUCUGAACCGACUCUCGGGAGAAAUUCCUCCAAGCUUUGCAGGUUUGAAGAGCAUAACCGCUCUGAACCUCUCGAGUAAUAAUUUAUCGGGGUUGAUACCUAUGAGCGACCAGCUGCGAACGCUCCCAGAUCCAUCCAUAUACAGCAACAAUCCAGGGUUAUAUGGUUUCCCCUUGGAGGGCUGUGUAGACUCGUCGACAUCGACGCAAAGCGGAAUGAGCCAGGCUGAAGACAGCAGGGAGGCAUUGUGGCUGUAUUGCUUUGUGGCUGCUGGGUUCAUCUUUGGGUUCUGGCUGUACUGCGGCAUGUUCUGGUUUUACAGCGAGACCUGGAGGUGUGCAUUCUAUCAGUAUGUCGACAACAUGCAAGGGAAGGUAACCAAGAAGAUGUAUAGCUGCAUGUCAUACUUCCAGGCCAAGGUCCAUGAAUGA
Molecule: ribosomal RNA, 603 nt
Filed under: Triticum aestivum (bread wheat)
Lineage: Eukaryota; Viridiplantae; Streptophyta; Magnoliopsida; Poales; Poaceae
Description: partial small subunit ribosomal RNA
Source: RNAcentral